This is a long non-coding RNA of Diorhabda carinulata, 614 nucleotides long. RefSeq lists it as uncharacterized. The transcript is spliced from 3 exons. NCBI's taxonomy places the organism in Eukaryota, Metazoa, Arthropoda, Insecta, Coleoptera, Chrysomelidae. The record is from RefSeq and is a predicted model, not a curated record.
GUUACACAUUUAGAUCUAGAUAGAGAUGUAGAGAUAGCGAUAAAACCGCGGUCGAGUUACAGUAGUUUACCUCCUGAAAAGCUGAAGUGUUUCGUUUCAGUUCGAAACUGUUCCUUUUUCGGUUUUUAUGGUGGCAAUACAAAUCGUUAACAGUUUGGUCUUUCAAACUCCGCAACGUAAUGGGUCUCACCCUCGUCAAAUACGAACUUGGUGGGCUGUACCCAUGCUAAAUUCCAAUUGUACGCAAUCUUCGUGACACCAUAAUUCAAAACCUUGCAGCUGCUGGCGCUUGAAAUCGAAUGCUUUAUACAGAAACAAUGGAUGGAAAAUUGAUCUGCUGUCAAAAAACCGCAAGAAUUUUUAAAGAUAACGUGGUAACAAUGGGACUGAAUUUUUGCUUCGCUAUUAUUAUAUUUGUGAUGAUAAUAAGACACGUGGUAGAGAAUACUGAUUUAGAUAUGAAAAAAUAUAAAAUGUAUUAUUGUGUAUUAACCUAAAACUCAAUGUUUUUCAUCUGUAUUCUAAUUUUAUUUGUUCUGAAGACUGGCAGCUGUAAUUUAUUUUAUGUUAUAGUAGACUCGAUAUUUUGAUCAAUAAAUGUGAUAUGAAUUAUA